Small nucleolar RNA from Morone saxatilis (striped sea-bass), 208 nucleotides. RefSeq annotates it as small nucleolar RNA U3. The transcript has a single exon. Lineage: Eukaryota; Metazoa; Chordata; Actinopteri; Moronidae. The record is from RefSeq and is a predicted model, not a curated record.
AAGACUGUACUUUCAGGAAUCAUUUCUUUAGUUCUUGACUUGAGAAAUAUCUUUCUAAAGAGUUUGGUCACGCUGCCCAUGAUGAAGAGUUCAGAUGUUUCCUUCAGAGCAGAAAACUGAUGGGAAGACUUUGUUUUUUUCUCCACUGUUGAUUAUUGUUCAGAGUUUCUAAAUAAGACUCUGAAGGAGGAAACAUGAUCUGAGUGGA